UCCCUGGUGGCUCAGAUGGUAAUGAAUCUGCCUGUAAUGCAGGAGACCCAGGUUCGAUCUCUGGGUGGGGAA
Molecule: non-coding RNA, 72 nt
Organism: Bos taurus (domestic cattle)
Lineage: Eukaryota; Metazoa; Chordata; Mammalia; Artiodactyla; Bovidae
Source: Rfam